UACGUAGGGUGCGAGCGUUAAUCGGAAUUACUGGGCGUAAAGCGUGCGCAGGCGGCUUUGCAAGACAGAUGUGAAAUCCCCGGGCUCAACCUGGGAACUGCAUUUGUGACUGCAAGGCUAGAGUACGGCAGAGGGGGAUGGAAUUCCGCGUGUAGCAGUGAAAUGCGUAGAUCUGCGGAGGAACACCAAUGGCGAAGGCAAUCCCCUGGGCCUGUACCGACGCUCAUGCACGAAAGCGUGGGGAGCAAACAGG
RNAcentral lists this ribosomal RNA (253 nucleotides) under uncultured bacterium. RNAcentral's name for it is "partial 16S ribosomal RNA". It matches the Rfam family "Bacterial small subunit ribosomal RNA", at positions 524 to 776 of the family's 1533-position model. The record is from RNAcentral.